GUGUACGAUAUAUGUUGAUAACGUUUUAUUAAAGGGACAUCUUUUUUCCGCAGCCCUUCCUGACAUGUUUGGGGAAUGUGGGUUGGAGUUUAUUACACUGAUUACAAAAUGCAAGGUGACUUCUUGGGCACAGUUUUUGUUCCUGGUGCAUAACAAGAUGUUUUGUGUUUGAGGCGUCUGCCUUCUUUUCCUGGGCCUGCAAAUUCUGUGUUCUUGUGGAGUCGCGAUGGCCUUGGCGGAAGGUGGGUUGGGAGGGAAGAGGGUCCAAGCAAAGGGCAGGCUCAGCCCAUGUUUAUAAAGCCCUUAGGGGACCAGAUAGCAAAUUCCCAGGUUUAAAUCUUGUUUGCUGCAACUUGCUGUGUGGCCUUGGGCAAAUUAGUUGAUACUUCU
This 390-nucleotide long non-coding RNA is filed under the name Homo sapiens (human). RNAcentral describes it as "non-protein coding lnc-SSBP3-1:1". The record is from RNAcentral. Lineage: Eukaryota; Metazoa; Chordata; Mammalia; Primates; Hominidae.